GACGAACGCUGGCGGCGUGCCUAAUACAUGCAAGUCGAGCGAAGUUUUUCUGGUGCUUGCACUAGAAAAACUUAGCGGCGAACGGGUGAGUAACACGUAAAGAACCUGCCUCAUAGACUGGGACAACUAUUGGAAACGAUAGCUAAUACCGGAUAACAGCAUUAACUGCAUGGUUGAUGUUUAAAAGUUGGUUUUGCUAACACUAUGAGAUGGCUUUGCGGUGCAUUAGCUAGUUGGUGGGGUAAAGGCCUACCAAGGCGACGAUGCAUAGCCGACCUGAGGGGGUGAUCGGCCACACUGGGACUGAGACACGGCCCAGACUCCUACGGGAGGCAGCAGUAGGCAAUCUUCCGCAAUGGGCGAAAGCCUGACGGAGCAACGCCGCGUGAAUGAAGAAGUAUUUCGGUUCGUAAAGCUCUGUUGUUAGGGAAGAAUGACUGUGUAGUAACUAUACACAGUAGAGACGGUACCUAACCAGAAAGCUACGGCUAACUACGUG
This 499-nucleotide ribosomal RNA is filed under the name uncultured bacterium. RNAcentral's name for it is "partial 16S ribosomal RNA". It matches the Rfam family "Bacterial small subunit ribosomal RNA", at positions 28 to 507 of the family's 1533-position model. The record is from RNAcentral.